This 401-nucleotide ribosomal RNA is filed under the name uncultured bacterium. RNAcentral describes it as "bacterial SSU rRNA". It matches the Rfam family "Bacterial small subunit ribosomal RNA", at positions 29 to 416 of the family's 1533-position model. The record is from RNAcentral.
AACGAACGUUGGCGGCGUGGAUGAGGCAUGCAAGUCGAACGCGAAAGCCGCAAGGCGAGUAAAGUGGCGGACGGGCGAGUAACACGUAAUCAAGCUACCUGUGAGACGGGGAUAACUUCGGGAAACCGAAGCUAAGACCCGAUGGCCUUAGGAGACCGCAUGGUUUCCUAAGUAAAUGGGCGGGACCUUUCGGGGUCGCCUGCUCGCAGAGGUGAUUGCGGCCCAUCAGCUAGUUGGUAGGGUAAUGGCCUACCAAGGCAACGACGGGUAGCCGGCCUUAGAGGGUGGUCGGCCGCACUGGGACUGAGACACUGCCCAGACUCCUACGGGAGGCUGCAGUCGAGAAUCUUCCGCAAUGGGCGAAAGCCUGACGGAGCGACGCCGCGUGGAGGAUGAAGGCC